This 371-nucleotide ribosomal RNA is filed under the name uncultured organism. RNAcentral's name for it is "partial 16S ribosomal RNA". It matches the Rfam family "Bacterial small subunit ribosomal RNA", at positions 527 to 896 of the family's 1533-position model. The record is from RNAcentral.
GUAGGUGGCAAGCGUUGUCCGGAAUUAUUGGGCGUAAAGCGCGCGCAGGCGGUUCUUUAAGUCUGAUGUGAAAGCCCACGGCUCAACCGUGGAGGGUCAUUGGAAACUGGAGAACUUGAGUACAGAAGAGGAAAGCGGAAUUCCACGUGUAGCGGUGAAAUGCGUAGAGAUGUGGAGGAACACCAGUGGCGAAGGCGGCUUUCUGGUCUGUAACUGACGCUGAGGCGCGAAAGCGUGGGGGAGCAAACAGGAUUAGAUACCCUGGUAGUCCACGCCGUAAACGAUGAGUGCUAAGUGUUAGGGGGUUUCCGCCCCUUAGUGCUGCAGUUAACGCAUUAAGCACUCCGCCUGGGAGUACGGCCGCAAGGCUG